RNAcentral lists this ribosomal RNA (600 nucleotides) under Protolophus singularis. RNAcentral's name for it is "partial 16S ribosomal RNA". The record is from RNAcentral. Lineage: Eukaryota; Metazoa; Arthropoda; Arachnida; Opiliones; Protolophidae.
AUUAGAGACUUUUGAAGAAGGUAUUAUUUUAGKGCASUUUGGGGGGUCAAAAAUUUUUUGUUUAGUAAUAUGGGGGUAUGUACCUUUGGUAUCAGGGUGUAUUAAAAAUAUUGAUAUAUUUUGUUUUCCCGAAAUAGAGUGAGUUACGUGGCUAAGUCUUUAUUGUGGCAUAAAUAAGGGCAAUGGUUAAUGUAGUAGUGAGAUGCUAUUCGGGCUUUAAGGUAUCUGGUUUUUAUAGAAAUUAUGGAGAUGGGUGUUAGGCUAUUAUUAGUCUAAUAUAAAGUUUGUUAGGGAUAAGCUUAAUGUUCUAUUUCUAUAUCAGUGUGUGUUUAUUGAGUAUCAUAGGCUUAAGGGUAGCUUUGUGUUUUAUAACAUAUUUUUUUCGUAUUUUAUUAGUUAGGUAUAUAGAGAUGUUUAUAGCUGUUUAUUAGUACUAAUAAUGAUAUAAUCAGUAGAGUCAAUUUUAGGUUUAAAAUUUAAGUAAAGAAUAUUGAUGUAUGGAUUAUUUGGGUGCUAAUGAGGAACUCGGCAAAUUUAUUUUUUAACUGUUUAUCAAAAACAUUUCCUUAAGAGUGUAGUUAAGGUAUAUUCUGCCCCCUG